UACGUAGGGGGCUAGCGUUGUCCGGAAUCAUUGGGCGUAAAGCGCGUGUAGGCGGUCCGGUAAGUCCGCUGUGAAAGUCGGGGGCUCAACCCUCGGAUGCCGGUGGAUACUGUCGGGCUUGAGUACGGAAGAGGCGAGUGGAAUUCCUGGUGUAGCGGUGAAAUGCGCAGAUAUCAGGAGGAACACCAAUUGCGGAGGCAGCUCGCUGGGACGUUACUGACGCUGAGACGCGAAAGCGUGGGGAGCAAACAGG
RNAcentral lists this ribosomal RNA (253 nucleotides) under uncultured bacterium. RNAcentral describes it as "partial 16S ribosomal RNA". It matches the Rfam family "Bacterial small subunit ribosomal RNA", at positions 524 to 776 of the family's 1533-position model. The record is from RNAcentral.